Molecule: ribosomal RNA, 301 nt
Filed under: uncultured bacterium
Lineage: Bacteria
Description: partial 16S ribosomal RNA
Rfam family: Bacterial small subunit ribosomal RNA
Source: RNAcentral
CAGUAGCCGCGGUAAAACGUAGGUGGCAAGCGUUGUCCGGAAUUAUUGGGCGUAAAGGGCUCGCAGGCGGUUUCUUAAGUCUGAUGUGAAAGCCCCCGGCUCAACCGGGGAGGGUCAUUGGAAACUGGGAAACUUGAGUGCAGAAGAGGAGAGUGGAAUUCCACGUGUAGCGGUGAAAUGCGUAGAGAUGUGGAGGAACACCAGUGGCGGAGGCGACUCUCUGGUCUGUAACUGACGCUGAGGAGCGAAAGCGUGGGGAGCGAACAGGAUUAGAUACCCGCGUAGUCCCUGUCUCUUAUAC